CGGCCGCGGUACUUGACCGUGCAAAGGUAGCAUAAUCAUUUGCCUUAUAAUUGAAGGCUGGAAUGAAUGGUUUGACAAGAAUACACCUGUCUCUUUUAGAUUAUUUAGAAUUUUAUUUUUAGGUGAAAAAGCCUAGAUUUUAUUAAAAGACAAGAAGACCCUAUCGAGCUUCAGAAAAAUUGAUAGAGUAACUAUGCUUAAUAUUAAUUAAAAAAAAGCUAUUAAAUACUUUGGUUGGGGCAACCGAGGAGUAGAUAAAGCCUCCUUUAAAUAAAGAAAUCUUACUUGAGAGGAUCCAAGAAUUUUGAUCAAAGGAAUUAGUUACCGUAGGGAUAACAGCAUUAUCUUUUUUGAGAGCCCAUAUCGAAAAAAAGGUUUGUGACCUCGAUGUUGGACCAGAAUAUCAUGCAGAAGUCUUU
RNAcentral lists this ribosomal RNA (419 nucleotides) under Conus abbreviatus. RNAcentral's name for it is "partial 16S ribosomal RNA". It matches the Rfam family "Bacterial large subunit ribosomal RNA", at positions 1928 to 2563 of the family's 2925-position model. Lineage: Eukaryota; Metazoa; Mollusca; Gastropoda; Neogastropoda; Conidae. The record is from RNAcentral.